RNAcentral lists this ribosomal RNA (524 nucleotides) under Desmodesmus sp. NT3b. RNAcentral's name for it is "SSU rRNA". It matches the Rfam family "Eukaryotic small subunit ribosomal RNA", at positions 612 to 1116 of the family's 1831-position model. The record is from RNAcentral. Lineage: Eukaryota; Viridiplantae; Chlorophyta; Chlorophyceae; Sphaeropleales; Scenedesmaceae.
AAGUUUGGUUGCAGUUAAAAGCUCGUAGUUGGAUUUCGGGUGGGUUUCAGCGGUCCGCCUAUGGUGAGUACUGCUGUGGCCUUCCUUACUGUCGGGGACCUGCUUCUGGGCUUCAUUGUCCGGGACAGGGAUUCGGCAUGGUUACUUUGAGUAAAUUAGAGUGUUCAAAGCAGGCUUACGCCGUGAAUACUUUAGCAUGGAAUAACAUGAUAGGACUCUGCCCUAUUCUGUUGGCCUGUAGGAGUGGAGUAAUGAUUAAGAGGAACAGUCGGGGGCAUUCGUAUUUCAUUGUCAGAGGUGAAAUUCUUGGAUUUAUGAAAGACGAACUACUGCGAAAGCAUUUGCCAAGGAUGUUUUCAUUAAUCAAGAACGAAAGUUGGGGGCUCGAAGACGAUUAGAUACCGUCGUAGUCUCAACCAUAAACGAUGCCGACUAGGGAUUGGCGGACGUUUUUGCAUGACUCCGUCAGCACCUUGAGAGAAAUCAAAGUUUUUGGGUUCCGGGAGGUUGGGUUGUCACCCAAA